AGAGUUUGAUCCUGGCUCAGAUUGAACGCUGGCGGCAGGCCUAACACAUGCAAGUCGAGCGGUAACACAGGGAGCUUGCUCCUGGGUGACGAGCGGCGGACGGGUGAGUAAUGUCUGGGAAACUGCCUGAUGGAGGGGGAUAACUACUGGAAACGGUAGCUAAUACCGCAUAACGUCGCAAGACCAAAGAGGGGGACCUUCGGGCCUCUUGCCAUCAGAUGUGCCCAGAUGGGAUUAGCUAGUAGGUGGGGUAACGGCUCACCUAGGCGACGAUCCCUAGCUGGUCUGAGAGGAUGACCAGCCACACUGGAACUGAGACACGGUCCAGACUCCUACGGGAGGCAGCAGUGGGGAAUAUUGCACAAUGGGCGCAAGCCUGAUGCAGCCAUGCCGCGUGUAUGAAGAAGGCCUUCGGGUUGUAAAGUACUUUCAGCGGGGAGGAAGGUGUUGAGGUUAAUAACCUCAGCAAUUGACGUUACCCGCAGAAGAAGCACCGGCUAACUCCGUGCCAGCAGCCGCGGUAAU
This 525-nucleotide ribosomal RNA is filed under the name uncultured Enterobacteriaceae bacterium. RNAcentral's name for it is "bacterial SSU rRNA". It matches the Rfam family "Bacterial small subunit ribosomal RNA", at positions 8 to 524 of the family's 1533-position model. The record is from RNAcentral. Lineage: Bacteria; Pseudomonadati; Pseudomonadota; Gammaproteobacteria; Enterobacterales; Enterobacteriaceae.